AUGUGUGUGCACUGUCUGUGCAAGAGCCGCGUCCGGUAUGUCUCCGCGGGUCUUGUGGUUGAGGCGCACGGAGUCCUCCUCCCCUGCCGUUCCGAGGACGCCGCCUCCUGCCCGGCACUCCCGGGCGCUGACACUACAUGGGGGCGGCCAGUCCUCAGGGUGCCAGGUAGCCGAGAGCUCCGCUCCAGGUGUCUGCCCGGCGCCACCCGUCUCCAGGGACGGAGUCCACGUCCCAGAACUCAUCCUCCUCCCAUGGGACCCUCUUACUCCCUUUUGUUGAUCAAGUCUUCGAACUUUGAAAAAAAAACAAAAAAAAAAAACGAGCUUUUGCCAAAUAAGACGGGAUAGUUUGUGGAGUUUUCCGAGGCACGUCGGACUCCGAGUUGCCCUCGAGCAUGGGCCUCGGCCGCGCAGGCCAGGCCACCUGGCUGCACUGGCCCCCAGGCUGCCUUUCUCUCCGUGGCCGGCCGGCCCCCACCGCCGCGGCCCACGCUGGUGCCGAGCCUGAGACUCACUCCUUGUUCGCCUGAGAUCCUCCCAGGGCCGCACCGGUCCUCCCCGGCUCUCCCUUCCAGGGCCGGGGACUCUCAUGGGGCCCACCCACCUCGGCUGCGUUCCUGGGCCUGGAGGCCUGUUGCCUCUGCUUCCCCAGACCUGAUCCGAGGCUUCUCCAGCCUCCACCCCGACUUCAGAGUCGUUCCAAGUCCUGGUGCCCUGACCAAGAUGGGGGAAGAGAGCAGGGCCCCGCGCAGGGCCGCCUCUCUCAAGCCCGCGGUUAGAUGGCUCCUCCCCCAGCUAUGAGUUCAGCCCUGGGGGUGAGGGCGCCAUCUUCCCCCCCUGAGGUCCCUAAUCUUGUCCCUGCUCUGACUCUGUCAGGCAGAUCCUGAACACUCCUUGGGGUGACCCCUGUCUCCAAGGCUUCCCCUAGCGCCAGCUGUCGGGGAACACCCCAGAACCCCUGGGGAAAGGCCUGAGAUGUGUGGAGGAAACCUCUGGGGCUCCUGGCCACCGCUCUGCCUCUGUCCCGGGCCUACUGCCUUCAGGUAUCAGGAGGAGAGGCAGGCCCCGCGCCCGUCUCCCUUCCAGGCAGGCCGGUAAUACUCAGUGGCGGUCUUCCUGUCCGCUCCGAGUCCCUCCAGACGUUGGAUGGGAGGAGCUGGCCUGUGGCUGGCGGGAGGCGGCAGCUGCUCCACCUCCCUGUACAGAGGCCGCCCGGGGUCCCAGGCCCUGGGCCUUCUCCUUCACGAGGAUCCCUCAGGAUCCACACAGCGACGGUAACAGCCUUCCACUCAGCCGGAGGAGGGUCGGGCUGUCCUGCCUGCCCCCAGCAGCAGCGUCUGCCCUUCCUGCUGCUUCCAAGGCCCCCGGAAGCACCGACUCACAUCUCACUUACCUCCUCUGGCCGGAAGCCUCGCCGCUGUCCUCCAGAGCUGCUCUGGGCCCAGGGCUGGCUCCGUGACUCCCGAUGGACGUGCCGGGCAGCCAGGGCCCCGCCCCUACCCCACUGCCCGGCGGCUGGGCCCAAGAGGGCUUUGGGGACGCUUCCAUAGGAAGGGGCCCGGCACUUUGUGAUUGCCGCGUGUUUUGUGUUACGCCGCCCGCCCCCAGUGCAAACCCCCGUGUUGCUCUCUCCUCAACAAAGUGUAAACCGACGCCAGAAAGCGAAUGGUAUCGAAUACCUUUCUUUGCCCACAAGGGUUUUUACAAAGAAUGUGUCUCUCUAGGAACUAGGACACUUCGGCCGAGACCAACUCCUGGAUAAAAGGAAUAAGGAGAAUCGUGUUUGUAACGAGUUACAGGAUUGUUUCUGUCCUGGAUUUUAAACUUUUUUGUUAAAUUGUGAAAUUAUGGAGGAGUUUUAUAGAAAAAAAAGUGAAAUAAAGUCAGAUGGGAAAGCAGA
Molecule: non-coding RNA, 1900 nt
Organism: Microcebus murinus (gray mouse lemur)
Lineage: Eukaryota; Metazoa; Chordata; Mammalia; Primates; Cheirogaleidae
Source: RefSeq, a predicted model, not a curated record